UACGGGGGGGGCAAGCGUUGUUCGGAAUUACUGGGCGUAAAGGGCUUGUAGGCGGCCAACUAAGUCCGACGUGAAAUCCCCAGGCUUAACCUGGGAACUGCGUCGGAUACUGGAUGGCUUGAAUUCGGGAGAGGGAUGCAGAAUUCCAGGUGUAGCGGUGAAAUGCGCAGAUAUCAGGAAGAACACCCGUGGCGAAGGCGGCUCUCUGGGACGGUACUGACGCUGAGACGCGAAAGCGUGGGGAGCGAACAGG
Molecule: ribosomal RNA, 253 nt
Filed under: uncultured bacterium
Lineage: Bacteria
Description: partial 16S ribosomal RNA
Rfam family: Bacterial small subunit ribosomal RNA
Source: RNAcentral